AAGGUAAAAGAAAAUUACAAUAAAAGGUCUUAACAAUCUAAUAAGAUUAUAGAGAAAUUAUAAUUAAAUGUUAACAAUUAUAAUCAAAAAUUAAGCAAGCUCAAUUAAAUUUUAUUGAAGUUAUAAAAGAAACACAAAGAAAUCCUAAAGAAAUAUAAAAGAAUAUUAAAAAAAACUUAGUCAAAUCCUAACAAAAAUCUAAAUAAACCUUAAAUUCUAACCAAACACUGAUCCUAAUCCAAUAUUAAUCAAAUCCUAGACAAAUCCUAAAUCCUAAACAUACCCUAGUCAAAUCUUAGACAAAUCCUAACCCUAAUAAAUCCUAAUCAAUUCCAAAUCUUAAACAAACCCUAGUCAAAUCCUAAACAAACUCUAAUCAAAUCCUAAUCAAACCCUAACUCUAAAUCCUAAUCAAAUCCUAAUCCUAACCAAAUCCUAAAUCCUAAACCAAAUCCUAACUAAACCCUAAUCCUAAAUCCUAAUCAAA
Molecule: long non-coding RNA, 487 nt
Filed under: Physcomitrium patens
Lineage: Eukaryota; Viridiplantae; Streptophyta; Bryopsida; Funariales; Funariaceae
Description: long non-coding RNA (PPAT_LNC003630)
Source: RNAcentral